Oryctolagus cuniculus (rabbit) is the source of this 364-nucleotide non-coding RNA. Lineage: Eukaryota; Metazoa; Chordata; Mammalia; Lagomorpha; Leporidae. The record is from RefSeq and is a predicted model, not a curated record.
AGGGCAUGAGAGGGUCUCUGAGCAGGGACGGCAGGGUGGGGGGCUCACCAGGCAGGCCCCAGGCAGAGCCCCAGGUGCUGAAUAUGGCAGGGAGACGGCAGAGAGCCUGGUGUGGCUGCAGAAAGGGGAUCCUGGGUGCUGGGGGUGCAGGGAGGACUUGGACAGACGGGGAGGGCUAUGCCUGGCCCUGCGGAGCCACAGAAGGGUCUUGGUCAGAGUGUGGCCACAGCUCUGCUUUCAGGGGCCUGCUUCAGCCUGGCUCAGCACUGGCUGUUGUGGGAGUGAACCAGUGGAUGGAAGACCUCCCUUUCUUUGUAAUUCUUUCAAAUAAAAUAAAUCUUAAAAAAAAAAAAUCCAAAGACAG